AUACGUAGGGGGCGAGCGUUGUCCGGAAUGAUUGGGCGUAAAGGGCGCGUAGGCGGCCCGGUAAGUCUGGAGUGAAAGUCCUGUUUUUAAGAUGGGAAUUGCUUUGGAUACUGUCGGGCUUGAGUGCAGGAGAGGUAAGUGGAAUUCCCAGUGUAGCGGUGAAAUGCGUAGAGAUUGGGAGGAACACCAGUGGCGAAGGCGACUUACUGGACUGUAACUGACGCUGAGGCGCGAAAGUGUGGGGAGCAAACAGGAUUAGAUACCCUGGUAGUCCACGCAGUAAACGAUGAAUGCUAGGUGUAGGGGGUAUCGACCCCUUCUGUGCCGCAGUCAACACAAUAAGCAUUCCGCCUGGGGAGUACGGCCGCAAGGUUGAAACUCAAAUGAAUUGGCGGGGG
Molecule: ribosomal RNA, 398 nt
Filed under: uncultured bacterium
Lineage: Bacteria
Description: partial 16S ribosomal RNA
Rfam family: Bacterial small subunit ribosomal RNA
Source: RNAcentral